Molecule: long non-coding RNA, 338 nt
Filed under: Homo sapiens (human)
Lineage: Eukaryota; Metazoa; Chordata; Mammalia; Primates; Hominidae
Description: non-protein coding lnc-NUTM1-3:1
Source: RNAcentral
AGCCUGAUAGAAGGUAGUCGAAAGCAAAUACUUCAAGCACUAGCCAUCACAAUUACCUUAGGUAUUUACGCUACCCUUCUACGAGUCUCUGAAUAUUUCGAGGCCCCCUUUCCUAUUUCCCAUGGGCUCUAUGGCUCAACAUUCUUUACAGCCACAGGCUUUCCUGGACUUUACGUUAUUAUUGAAUCAACAUUGCUCACUAUCCGCCUCCUUUGCCAAUUAAAAUUCCACUUUACAUCCAACCACCACUUUGGCUUUGAAGCCACUGCCUGAUACUGACGCUCUGUCGAUGUACAAUGACUAUUCUUACACGUCUCUGUCUACUGAGGAGGAUCCUA